Molecule: long non-coding RNA, 489 nt
Filed under: Sus scrofa (pig)
Lineage: Eukaryota; Metazoa; Chordata; Mammalia; Artiodactyla; Suidae
Description: lncRNA (ENSSSCG00070025591.1)
Source: RNAcentral
UCUAGCAUUAUUUUCCAAAGUCCUUCCACUUUUACUGUUACAGACAAUUCUCUUUUAAUGCAAACACUUAUUGAAAAGAUUUAAACUAUAUGAAAAGGAAUUUUUUUCUUGAAAGAAAAGGUCUUAAGAGAUCCAGUUCCAAAUUUUCUUUUCUCAAGGAAAGCGUUUCUAUGAUUUAAGAAUAAGCAUGCCUGUUAAAUUCGCUACAAGUGUCAUCAUUAAAAAAAAAAAAAAAAAAAACUUGUUUAUCUUUUAGAUUCCCAGAAGUUUUCUAUGAGUUCCUGUGGAGAGAGCCUUGUGGAAAGCAAAAACGGCUGUGAUGCAGUUUUUUGAUAUGAGGAUAACAGGAAGCAGCGAGACAAUCAUGCCCAUGAGAACUCUAAACCACUCAGACCAUUUUAUUUUAGUGAAACUGGCAAUUGAACUUUGCUCUAGUUGAUGGGCAAAAUUUCUCCUAGAAUAUUCAUCAUCCCAACUUCAUCCUAGUUU